GUCCCCUUCGUCUAGAGGCCUAGGACACCGCCCUUUCACGGCGGUAGCAGGGGUUCGAAUCCCCUAGGGGACGCCA
This 76-nucleotide transfer RNA is filed under the name Aeromonas hydrophila. Its description in RNAcentral is "tRNA-Glu". It matches the Rfam family "tRNA". From Rfam's summary of the family: Transfer RNA (tRNA) molecules are approximately 80 nucleotides in length. Their secondary structure includes four short double-helical elements and three loops (D, anti-codon, and T loops). Further hydrogen bonds mediate the characteristic L-shaped molecular structure. tRNAs have two regions of fundamental functional importance: the anti-codon, which is responsible for specific mRNA codon recognition, and the 3' end, to which the tRNAs corresponding amino acid is attached (by aminoacyl-tRNA synthetases). tRNAs cope with the degeneracy of the genetic code in two manners: having more than one tRNA (with a specific anti-codon) for a particular amino acid; and 'wobble' base-pairing, i.e. permitting non-standard base-pairing at the 3rd anti-codon position. Lineage: Bacteria; Pseudomonadati; Pseudomonadota; Gammaproteobacteria; Aeromonadales; Aeromonadaceae. The record is from RNAcentral.